RNAcentral lists this unclassified non-coding RNA (376 nucleotides) under soil metagenome. RNAcentral describes it as "partial contains 5.8S ribosomal RNA, internal transcribed spacer 2, and large subunit ribosomal RNA". The stretch from base 1 to 121 matches the Rfam family "5.8S ribosomal RNA", at positions 35 to 154 of the family's 154-position model. The record is from RNAcentral.
GAUGAAGAACGCAGUGAAAUGCGAUAAGUAAUGCGAAUUGCAGAAUUUCCGUGAGUCAUCGAAUCUUUGAACGCACAUUGCGCCCGCCAGUAUUCUGGCGGGCAUGCCUGUUCGAGCGUCAUUUCAACCCUCAAGACCCCUUCGGGGGACUUGGUGUUGGGGACCGGCACAGGGGCCUGCCUGCUUGUCUUGCAGCGCCCUCGCCGCCCCCGAAAUGAAUUGGCGGCCUCGUCGCGGCCUCCCCUGCGUAGUAGCACAAACCUCGCAACGGGAACGUGACGGCGGCCACUGCCGUAAAACAACCCAAUUUUAUUAGAGUUGACCUCGAAUCAGGUAGGAAUACCCGCAGAACUUAAGCAUAUCAAUAAGCGGAGGA